Long non-coding RNA from Octopus sinensis (East Asian common octopus), 159 nucleotides. RefSeq lists it as uncharacterized. The transcript has 2 exons. Lineage: Eukaryota; Metazoa; Mollusca; Cephalopoda; Octopoda; Octopodidae. The record is from RefSeq and is a predicted model, not a curated record.
GCAUGGCCACAGUCAAAAAGACACUGACUCCUUUGUUCCUUAAAUUAUUCAUGAAACGGUACGAAUGUAGCCAGUCAGCAGAGCCAUCUAUUGGAGAAUUGAUGAAAUACAAUCGUUUAAAGGGAAAUAACCUCUUCAACACUUGAACCACGAAGCAUC